This 69-nucleotide transfer RNA is filed under the name Anguilla anguilla (European eel). It matches the Rfam family "tRNA". From Rfam's summary of the family: Transfer RNA (tRNA) molecules are approximately 80 nucleotides in length. Their secondary structure includes four short double-helical elements and three loops (D, anti-codon, and T loops). Lineage: Eukaryota; Metazoa; Chordata; Actinopteri; Anguilliformes; Anguillidae. The record is from Rfam by way of RNAcentral.
GCGCCAGUGUUGUAGGGGUAUCAUGCAAGAUUCCCAUUCUUGCGACUCGGGUUCGAUUCGGCUGGCGCA